UACGUAGGGGGCAAGCGUUGUCCGGAAUCAUUGGGCGUAAAGCGCGCGUAGGCGGCUUUGUAAGUUAGAGGUGAAAGCCCGGAGCUCAACUCCGGAACUGCCUUUAAGACUGCAUCGCUAGAAUUGUGGAGAGGUGAGUGGAAUUCCGAGUGUAGAGGUGAAAUUCGUAGAUAUUCGGAAGAACACCAGUGGCGAAGGCGACUCACUGGACACAUAUUGACGCUGAGGUGCGAAAGCUAGGGGAGCAAACGGG
This 253-nucleotide ribosomal RNA is filed under the name uncultured bacterium. RNAcentral's name for it is "partial 16S ribosomal RNA". It matches the Rfam family "Bacterial small subunit ribosomal RNA", at positions 524 to 776 of the family's 1533-position model. The record is from RNAcentral.